CAGGAUGAACGCUAGCUACAGGCUUAACACAUGCAAGUCGAGGGGCAGCAUGGGAUUAGCUUGCUAAUCCUGAUGGCGACCGGCGCACGGGUGAGUAACGCGUAUCCAACUCCCCUUACUCAGGGAUAGCCCGCUGAAAGGCGGAUUAACACCUGAUGGUUUCAUUAGAUGGCAUCUGACGAUGAAUAAAGUUUACGGUAAGGGAUGGGGAUGCGUCUGAUUAGCUUGUUGGCGGGGUAACGGCCCACCAAGGCGACGAUCAGUAGGGGUUCUGAGAGGAAGGUCCCCCACAUUGGAACUGAGACACGGUCCAAACUCCUACGGGAGGCAGCAGUGAGGAAUAUUGGUCAAUGGGCGAGAGCCUGAACCAGCCAAGUAGCGUGCAGGAUGACGGCCCUAUGGGUUGUAAACUGCUUUUAUAUAGGGAUAAAGUCACCCACGUGUGGGUGUUUGUAGGUACUAUAUGAAUAAGGACCGGCUAAUUCCGUGCCAGCCGCCGC
Molecule: ribosomal RNA, 500 nt
Filed under: uncultured bacterium
Lineage: Bacteria
Description: bacterial SSU rRNA
Rfam family: Bacterial small subunit ribosomal RNA
Source: RNAcentral